RNAcentral lists this ribosomal RNA (459 nucleotides) under uncultured bacterium. Its description in RNAcentral is "partial 16S ribosomal RNA". It matches the Rfam family "Bacterial small subunit ribosomal RNA", at positions 338 to 795 of the family's 1533-position model. The record is from RNAcentral.
CCUACGGGAGGCAGCAGUGAGGAAUAUUGGUCAAUGGGAGAGAUCCUGAACCAGCCAAGCCGCGUGAGGGAAGACGGCCCUAUGGGUCGUAAACCUCUUUUGUCGGAGAACAAAACCCGGGACGUGUCCCGGACUGCGUGUAUCCGAAGAAACAGCAUCGGCUAACUCCGUGCCAGCAGCCGCGGUAAUACGGAGGAUGCGAGCGUUAUCCGGAUUUAUUGGGUUUAAAGGGUGCGUAGGCGGUCCGUUAAGUCAGCGGUAAAAGUGCGGGGCUCAACCCCGUCGAGCCGUUGAAACUGGCAGACUUGAGUUGGCGAGAAGUACGCGGAAUGCGCGGUGUAGCGGUGAAAUGCAUAGAUAUCGCGCAGAACUCCGAUUGCGAAGGCAGCGUACCGGCGCCAGACUGACGCUGAGGCACGAAAGCGUGGGGAUCGAACAGGAUUAGAUACCCUUGUAGUC